This 373-nucleotide ribosomal RNA is filed under the name uncultured organism. RNAcentral describes it as "partial 16S ribosomal RNA". It matches the Rfam family "Bacterial small subunit ribosomal RNA", at positions 527 to 896 of the family's 1533-position model. The record is from RNAcentral.
GUAGGUGGCAAGCGUUGUCCGGGAAUUAUUGGGGCGUAAAGCGCGCGCAGGCGGUUCUUUAAGUCUGAUGUGAGCCCACGGGCUCAACCGUGGAGGGUCAUUGGAAUCUGGAGAACUUGAGUACAGAAGAGGAAAGCGGAAUUCCACGUGUAGCGGUGAAAUGCGUAGAGAUGUGGAGGAACACCAGUGGCGAAGGCGGCUUUCUGGUCUGUAACUGACGCUGAGGCGCGAAAGCGUGGGGAGCAAACAGGAUUAGAUACCCUGGUAGUCCACGCCGUAAACGAUGAGUGCUAAGUGUUAGGGGGUUUCCGCCCCUUAGUGCUGCAGCUAACGCAUUAAGCACUCCGCCUGGGGAGUACGGCCGCAAAGGCUG